RNAcentral lists this non-coding RNA (110 nucleotides) under Clostridium sp. RNAcentral describes it as "TPP sequence". It matches the Rfam family "TPP riboswitch aptamer (THI element)". Rfam says of the family: Vitamin B(1) in its active form thiamin pyrophosphate (TPP) is an essential coenzyme that is synthesised by coupling of pyrimidine and thiazole moieties in bacteria. The record is from RNAcentral. Lineage: Bacteria; Bacillati; Bacillota; Clostridia; Eubacteriales; Clostridiaceae.
GAAUCAAAAGCAGGGAGCUUGUGAUACAGGCUGAGAGGAAGUUAGCGUGAACUUCGACCCGUUAACCUGAUUUGGAUAAUGCCAACGAAGGGACUCUAUUUCCGUUACGA